CGGACGGGUGAGUAACACGUGGAUAACCUACCUAUAAGACUGGGAUAACUUCGGGAAACCGGAGCUAAUACCGGAUAAUAUAUUGAACCGCAUGGUUCAAUAGUGAAAGACGGUUUUGCUGUCACUUAUAGAUGGAUCCGCGCCGCAUUAGCUAGUUGGCAAGGUAACGGCUUACCAAGGCAACGAUGCGUAGCCGACCUGAGAGGGUGAUCGGCCACACUGGAACUGAGACACGGUCCAGACUCCUACGGGAGGCAGCAGUG
Molecule: ribosomal RNA, 263 nt
Filed under: uncultured Staphylococcus sp.
Lineage: Bacteria; Bacillati; Bacillota; Bacilli; Caryophanales; Staphylococcaceae
Description: partial 16S ribosomal RNA
Rfam family: Bacterial small subunit ribosomal RNA
Source: RNAcentral